UGGUCAAGUUAUUAAGGGUGCAGGGCGGAUGCCUUGGCACUAGGAGCCGAUGAAGGACGUGAUAAGCUGCGAUAAGCUUCGGGGAGUUGCACGUAAACUUUGAUCCGAAGAUUUCCGAAUGAGGAAACUCACUUAGAGUAAUGUCUAAGUAUCAUUAAGUGAAUACAUAGCUUAAUGAGGGGAACUCAGGGAACUGAAACAUCUAAGUACCUGAAGGAAGAGAAAGAAAUUCGAUUCCGUAAGUAGCGGCGAGCGAACGCGGAUUAGCCCAAACCAAUAAAGUUUUCUUUAUUGGGGUUGCGGACAUAUCAUAACGAAGAGGUAUCGUAAUUGAAGAGGUUUGGAAAGACCCACCACAGAAGGUAAUAGUCCUGUAUGUUAAACGAGAAGACUUUAGAUAUGAUCCAGAGUACCACGGGACACGUGAAACCCUGUGGGAAGCAGGAGGGACCACCCUCCAAGGCUAAAUACUACCUAGUGACCGAUAGCGUAUAGUACCGUGAGGGAAAGGUGAAAAGAACCCCGGGAGGGGAGUGAAAUAGAACCUGAAACCCUGCACUUACAAGCUGUGGAAGCACAUUUCUUGUGUGACCGCGUACUUUUUGUAGAACGGGCCAACGAGUUACGUUAAGUAGCAAGGUUAAGCACUUAAGGUGUGGAGCCGUAGCGAAAGCGAGUUUUAACUGAGCGUUCAGUUACUUGACGUAGACCCGAAACCGGGCGACCUACCCAUGAGCAGGAUGAAGCGAAAGUAAAAUUUCGUGGAGGUCCGAACCCACGAGCGUUGAAAAGCUCGGGGAUGACUUGUGGGUAGCGGUGAAAUUCCAAUCGAGCCCGGAGAUAGCUGGUUCUCCCCGAAAUAGCUUUAGGGCUAGCCUCAAGGUGAGAGAUACGGAGGUAGAGCACUGAAUGUCCUAGGGGGUAUUGCACCUACCGAAGACUAUCAAACUCCGAAUGCCGUCAUCUUAUACUUGGGAGUCAGACUGUGGGUGAUAAGAUUCAUAGUCGAAAGGGCAACAGCCCAGAUCGUCAGCUAAGGUCCCUAAAUGUAAGUUAAGUGGUAAAGGAUGUGGGAUUGCACAGACAACCAGGAUGUUGGCUUAGAAGCAGCCACUCAUUCAAAGAGUGCGUAAUAGCUCACUGGUCGAGUGAUCCUGCGCCGAAGAUUUCCGGGGCUAAAACUUACUACCGAAGCUACGGCAUCAGUAAUGAUGGGUAGGGGAGCUUCCCAUACGGGUUGAAGCAUGACCGUAAGGACAUGUGGACAGUAUGGGAGUGAGAAUGUUGGCAUGAGUAGCGAGAUGUGGGUGAGAAUCCCACAGGCCGUAAACCCAAGGUUUCCAGGGGAAGGUUCGUCCGCCCUGGGUUAGUCGGGACCUAAGCUGAGGCCGAAAGGCGUAGGUGAUGGACAACAGGUUGAUAUUCCUGUACUACCGAUAACCGUUUGAGAGAAGGGAUGACACAGUAGGAUAAGCUAAGCACACUGUUGGUUAUGUGUGCCCAAGCAUUGAGGCAGUCAAAGUAGGCAAAUCCGCUUUGAUAAUGCUGGGAUGUGAUGGGGAGCGAAAUUUAGUAGCGAAGUAGCUGAUUUCACACUGUCAAGAAAAGUCUCUAUCGAGGUUAAAGGUACCCGUACCGCAAACCGACACAGGUGGGUGAGGAGAGUAUCCUAAGGCCAGCGAGAGAACUGUUGUUAAGGAACUCGGCAAAAUGACCCCGUAACUUAGGGAUAAGGGGUGCCACCAUCAGGUGGCCGCAGAGAAUAGGCCCAAGCGACUGUUUACCAAAAACAUAGGUUUCUGCUAAGUCGCAAGACGAUGUAUAGGAGCUGACGCCUGCCCGGUGCUGGAAGGUUAAGGGGAUCUGUUAGAGCAAUCGAAGCAGUGAACUUAAGCCCCAGUAAACGGCGGCCGUAACUAUAACGGUCCUAAGGUAGCGAAAUUCCUUGUCGGGUAAGUUCCGACCCGCACGAAAGGCGUAACGAUUUGGGCACUGUCUCAACAACAGACUCGGUGAAAUUGUAAUUCCGGUGAAGAUGCCGGAUACCUGCGACAGGACGGAAAGACCCCAUGGAGCUUUACUGUAGCUUGACAUUGGGUCUUGGUACUACAUGUACAGGAUAGGUGGGAGGCUUUGAAACCAGGACGCCAGUUUUGGCGGAGCCAUCCUUGGGAUACCACCCUUGUAGUACUGGGACUCUAACCAUAGGCCAUGAAUCUGGUCUUGGGACACUGUCAGGUGGGCAGUUUGACUGGGGCGGUCGCCUCCCAAAAGGUAACGGAGGCGCUCAAAGGUUCUCUCAGUACGGUCGGAAAUCGUACGUAGAGUGUAAAGGCAAAAGAGAGCUUGAUUGCAAGACAUACAGGUCGAGCAAGGAUGAAAAUCGGACUUAGUGAUCCGGUGGUUCUGCGUGGAAGGGCCAUCGCUCAACGGAUAAAAGCUACCCUGGGGAUAACAGGCUUAUCUCCCCCAAGAGUCCACAUCGACGGGGAGGUUUGGCACCUCGAUGUCGGCUCAUCACAUCCUGGGGCUGUAGUAGGUCCCAAGGGUUGGGCUGUUCGCCCAUUAAAGUGGUACGCGAGCUGGGUUCAGAACGUCGUGAGACAGUUCGGUCCCUAUCCGUCGCAGGCGUAGGAAAUUUGAGAAGACCUGUCCUUAGUACGAGAGGACCGGGAUGGACGUACCUCUGGUGUACCAGUUGUCCUGCCAAGGGCAUGGCUGGGUAGCUAUGUGCGGAAUGGAUAAGCGCUGAAAGCAUCUAAGCGCGAAGCCAACUUCAAGAUAAGAUUUCCCACCGCAAGGGUAAGACCCCAGAAAGACUAUCUGGUUGAUAGGUCGAAGGUGUAAGUGCAGCAAUGUAUUUAGCUUAUCGAUACUAAUAGGUCGAGGACUUGACCAAU
This 2900-nucleotide ribosomal RNA is filed under the name Clostridioides difficile. RNAcentral's name for it is "bacterial LSU rRNA". It matches the Rfam family "Bacterial large subunit ribosomal RNA". Lineage: Bacteria; Bacillati; Bacillota; Clostridia; Peptostreptococcales; Peptostreptococcaceae. The record is from RNAcentral.